Molecule: long non-coding RNA, 243 nt
Filed under: Lathyrus oleraceus (garden pea)
Lineage: Eukaryota; Viridiplantae; Streptophyta; Magnoliopsida; Fabales; Fabaceae
Description: Pisum sativum (pea) long non-coding RNA (PSAT_LNC016664)
Source: RNAcentral
UUGAUGUAAGGUUCCGGUUCUGAAUAAUUUCUAGCAUUGUCUAGAAUGAGCGAUUUUAUUGUAAGUUCCUUUAUAAAAGCUUAGAAUUUUGCAAACGUAACAUAUACGCCAUCUUGCAUGACUAUCUUGAUCUCACAUACAAAACAAAAAGAAAAAUACAUUAGUAACAAUGUACUAAAUAAAAAGAUUAAACAAAAAUAAAACUAAAAAGAGAAAGAAUAGGAAAUAAAAUUUAAGAAGAAA